UAACACAUGCAAGUCGAACGAUGAAGCUGGAGCUUGCUCUAGUGGAUUAGUGGCGAACGGGUGAGUAACACGUGAGCAAUCUGCCCUUGACUCUGGGAUAACUGCGGGAAACUGUAGCUAAUACCGGAUACGACACCUUGGGGCAUCCCAGGGUGUGGAAAGAAUUUCGGUCAAGGAUGAGCUCGCGGCCUAUCAGCUUGUUGGUGAGGUAAUGGCUCACCAAGGCGACGACGGGUAGCCGGCCUGAGAGGGUGACCGGCCACACUGGGACUGAGACACGGCCCAGACUCCUACGGGAGGCAGCAGUGGGGAAUAUUGCACAAUGGGCGCAAGCCUGAUGCAGCAACGCCGCGUGAGGGAUGAAGGCCUUCGGGUUGUAAACCUCUUUUAGCAGGGAAGAAGCGAAAGUGACGGUACCUGCAGAAAAAGCACCGGCUAACUACGUGCCAGCAGCCGCGGUAAUACGUAGGGUGCAAGCGUUGUCCGGAAUUAUUGGGCGUAAAGAGCUCGUAGGCGGUUUGUCGCGUCUGCUGUGAAAACCUGAGGCUCAACCUCAGACCUGCAGUGGGUACGGGCAAGCUAGAGUGCGGUAGGGGAGAUGGGAAUUCCUGGUGUAGCGGUGGAAUGCGCAGAUAUCAGGAGGAACACCGAUGGCGAAGGCAGGUCUCUGGGCCAAUACUGACACUGAGGAGCGAAAGCGUGGGGAGCGAACAGGAUUAGAUACCCUGGUAGUCCACGCCGUAAACGGUGGGCGCUAGUUGUGCGAACCUUCCACGGUUUGUGCGACGCAGCUAACGCAUUAAGCGCCCCGCCUGGGGAGUACGAUCGCAAGAUUAAAACUCAAAGGAAUUGACGG
RNAcentral lists this ribosomal RNA (856 nucleotides) under uncultured bacterium. RNAcentral describes it as "bacterial SSU rRNA". It matches the Rfam family "Bacterial small subunit ribosomal RNA", at positions 49 to 916 of the family's 1533-position model. The record is from RNAcentral.